RNAcentral lists this ribosomal RNA (335 nucleotides) under Staphylococcus aureus. RNAcentral's name for it is "bacterial LSU rRNA". It matches the Rfam family "Bacterial large subunit ribosomal RNA", at positions 1559 to 1893 of the family's 2925-position model. Lineage: Bacteria; Bacillati; Bacillota; Bacilli; Caryophanales; Staphylococcaceae. The record is from RNAcentral.
AGCGGUGAUGGGGAGAAGACAUUGUGUCUUCGAGUCGUUGAUUUCACACUGCCGAGAAAAGCCUCUAGAUAGAAAAUAGGUGCCCGUACCGCAAACCGACACAGGUAGUCAAGAUGAGAAUUCUAAGGUGAGCGAGCGAACUCUCGUUAAGGAACUCGGCAAAAUGACCCCGUAACUUCGGGAGAAGGGGUGCUCUUUAGGGUUAACGCCCAGAAGAGCCGCAGUGAAUAGGCCCAAGCGACUGUUUAUCAAAAACACAGGUCUCUGCUAAACCGUAAGGUGAUGUAUAGGGGCUGACGCCUGCCCGGUGCUGGAAGGUUAAGAGGAGUGGUUAG